GAAAGUAAGCAAGGGCAGACGGUGGAUGCCUUGGCUCUCGGAGGCGACGAAGGACGUGAUAAGCUGCGAAAAGCCCGGGGGAGGCGCAAAUAGCCCUUGAUCCCGGGAUAUCCGAAUGGGGCAACCCGGCAGGCUGAAGGCCUGUCAUCCCGUAAGGGAGGCGAACGUGGGGAACUGAAACAUCUAAGUACCCAUAGGAGGAGAAAAUAAACAAUGAUUCCGUAAGUAGUGGCGAGCGAACACGGAAGAGCCCAAACCCAUGUCGUCUAGGCGACACGGGGGUUGUAGGACCACGACGUGGCAAGAGGAUGGCAAGUGGAACGCCUUGGAAAGGGCGACCGUAGAGGGUGAUAGUCCCGUACACGACUGCCUGCCGAAGCCUAGUGGCAUCCUGAGUAGCGCGGGGCACGAGAAAUCUUGCGUGAAACAGCGGGGCCCAUCCCGUAAGGCUAAAUACUCCCGAGAGACCGAUAGCGAACCAGUACCGUGAGGGAAAGGUGAAAAGAACCCCGAGCAGGGGAGUGAAAUAGACCCUGAACCCGUCUGCCUACAAGCGGUCGGAGCAUAGCAAUAUGUGACGGCGUGCCUUUUGCAUAAUGAACCUACGAGUUACCUUCCCCGGCAAGGUUAAGUACCUAAGGUACGGAGCCGAAGCGAAAGCGAGUCUGAAGAGGGCGGCCAGUCGGGGGGGGUAGACGCGAAACCGAGUGAUCUACCCUUGGCCAGGUUGAAGGUUGGGUAACACCAACUGGAGGACCGGAUGGGUAAGCGUUGAAAAGCUUUCCAAUGAGCUGAGGGUAGGGGUGAAAGGCUAAUCAAACUCGGAGAUAGCUCGUACUCCCCGAAAUGCAUUUAGGUGCAGCCUCUUUAUAGUAUAUCGUGAGGUAGAGCGACUGAUUGGAUGCGAGGGCUUCACCGCCUAUCAAGUCCAGAUAAACUCCGAAUGCGCGAUAUAUAUUUACAGGGAGUGAGGGCGCGGGUGCUAAGGUCCGUGUCCGAGAGGAGAAGAAUCCAGACCACCGGCUAAGGCCCCCAAAUGAUCGUUGAGUUGAACUAACGAGGUCGGAUCGCAGAGACAGCUAGGAUGUUGGCUUGGAAGCAGCCAUUCAUUUAAAGAGUGCGUAACAGCUCACUAGUCGAGCGAUCUGGCGUGGAUAAUAAUCGGGCAUAAACGAUCUGCCGAAGCCGUGGAUGUCGUAAGACAUGGUAGGGGAGCAUUCCAUGCGGCGUCGAAGAUGAGGGAUGACCCUUGUUGGAGCGCAUGGAAAAGCAAAUGUAGGUAUGAGUAACGAUAAGGGGGGCGAGAAACCCCCCCGCCGAAAGACCAAGGUUUCCUGAUCAACGCUAAUCGGAUCAGGGUGAGUCGGGACCUAAGGCUAAGCCGAACGGCGACGCCGAUGGAAGAAUGGGUUAAUAUUCCCAUACUGCCUCAUGGAGUGACGUGGAGACGGAGAAGUGACAGUCCUGCCGGCUGACGGAAUAGCCGGUUGAAGGGUGUAGAUAUUGAUUCCCGUAGGCAAAUCCGCGGGGAGAGUCGAACCUGACAGUAUACCGAGUACUUGUACGAGGUAAUAUGGACGUAACCAUGCUCCCAAGAAAAUCCGCUAAACUUAUCCAUGCGGCACCCGUACCGUAAACGGACACACGUGGUCGGGUUGAGAAUACUGAGGCGCUCGAGUGACUCACGGUUAAGGAACUAGGCAAAUUGACCCUGUAACUUCGGGAUAAAGGGUCCUCGUCGUAAGGCGAGGCGCAGAGAAUAGGUCCAGGCAACUGUUUAACAAAAACACAUGGCUAUGCUAAAUGGAAACAUGACGUAUAUAGCCUGACACCUGCCCGGUGCUGGAAGGUUAAGAGGAGAUGUCAUCGCAAGAGAAGCGUUGAAUUGAAGCCCCAGUAAACGGCGGCCGUAACUAUAACGGUCCUAAGGUAGCGAAAUUCCUUGUC
RNAcentral lists this ribosomal RNA (1947 nucleotides) under human gut metagenome. Its description in RNAcentral is "bacterial LSU rRNA". It matches the Rfam family "Bacterial large subunit ribosomal RNA", at positions 1 to 1973 of the family's 2925-position model. The record is from RNAcentral.